CCUACGGGAGGCAGCAGUGAGGAAUAUUGGUCAAUGGACGAGAGUCUGAACCAGCCAAGUAGCGUGAAGGAUGACUGCCCUAUGGGUUGUAAACUUCUUUUAUAUGGGAAUAAAAUGUUCCCCGUGUGGGAUUUUGUAUGUACCAUAUGAAUAAGGAUCGGCUAACUCCGUGCCAGCAGCCGCGGUAAUACGGAGGAUCCGAGCGUUAUCCGGAUUUAUUGGGUUUAAAGGGAGCGUAGGUGGAUUGUUAAGUCAGUUGUGAAAGUUUGCGGCUCAACCGUAAAAUUGCAGUUGAAACUGGCAGGCUUGAGUACAGGAGAGGUAUGCGGAAUUCGUGGUGUAGCGGUGAAAUGCUUAGAUAUCACGAAGAACUCCGAUUGCGAAGGCAGCUCACUGGACUGCAACUGACACUGAGGCUCGAAAGUGUGGGUAUCAAACAGGAUUAGAUACCCCAGUAGUC
This 460-nucleotide ribosomal RNA is filed under the name uncultured bacterium. RNAcentral describes it as "partial 16S ribosomal RNA". It matches the Rfam family "Bacterial small subunit ribosomal RNA", at positions 338 to 795 of the family's 1533-position model. The record is from RNAcentral.